GACCAGGGAUGUGCAUUUCCUGGAAAUCCUGGCCUGGCUUGGGAUAAGUCCGAGUUGCCGGGACCCAGGCCCACCCGAAAUCGCCUGCUCCGGGACGCCGGGCUGGAUCCACCUGUGGGCUCAGGCUCCAGCCGCCUGGUCCGCUCUGCCUUCCGCCUGGCCCCUCGAGCAACAGUCAAGCUACCGCCCAGGCGCCUGCAGCGUGCCAGGCCUGAGCAGGGCUGGAAGCAGGGGAACGAUCAAAACAGUUGCCAGCCGAAUAUGGGACUUCAGCCAUGCUGUGUGGAACAGAAGAAUUACCCAGCUGACCCCACCUCAGAUUCCAGACCUACAGAUUUGGGCCGGGUGACGUGCCAAACUGUACUGCGGGAGAGCCUGGGAAAUGUAGUCCAGCAGCACAUCUGGGAAGGCAAGGAGCUGCAGAUGUGGGUGGAGAUUCUACAAAGGCAGGACAGGAUCAACUUCUCCUGGAUCCCCAGCUCUCACCCAGGGUCUGGUGGAAAGUAGGAACUGCUACCUGUUGGUGGAAUGAUAGAAAGUAAGUGGGCAAUUGAGGUCACUGUUGUCAAGCUUCUGGGAUCUAUGGGAAGCCCUUGCUUGAGCAUGACCUUGUGUCCAGGCCGGCACAGGGCUCAGGCUGCCUUAGAUGAAGGAAGGGCAAGAUCAUGCCUAAGAAAAGAAUUUCAAGACAAACCCCUCCUUACCCCACACACUCAUACAAAACUCGUGUCACGAUAAUAUCUAGGUCUAUUGAGCACCUGUUCCGUGCUGGUCACUUACUCACAUGCAGAUGAUUUCACCCAGAGAUUCCCCACCCCCCGCAACGGCCUUAUGAUGUAGGUUCUGUACUUAGCCCUAUUCACCGCUGGAGAAAUCAAGACUCCAAGGGGUAAGAGGUGAAAGAGGAAUUUGGGUGUGAAUAUGCUAAACUCAGAGCUGUACUCUUGACCUCUGUCGGUGUCCAAGAGAAAGCAGAGUAGGCUGGAGAGCAGCCAGGUCUGGGACAAGAGCUCGGGACAGGCAGGCGGGAGCCCUGGGUCCGCAUCCGGUUCUGUGUGACUGAGGGCGGGUCACCUCACUUGUUUAGCACGUCCUUCCCUCAGCUGGCUCUGCGCCAGGCACUGAGGACAUGCAGAAAACAUCCGUUCUCUAGGUGGUUUACUCCCGGGGCAGCAGAGGAACCAGCAUUUGAUAUGAUAUGACAAGGAUCAUUAAGUAUUUCUUCCUCCUUGGCUCUAUUGUCUCCUAUGAAAUGUCAACCAAGAAGUUGGAAAGUCAAGUGUUGCCAACGCAAAAACCAACACAGCAAGCGUAGAAUGCAGACAGAUUGGAGUCUUGGCUCUGCCACUUCCAGGUCCACGACUGAGGCCAGUGCUCUCUGGGCCUCAAAAUUCCUCAUCUGGUGAGUGGAGGGACACAUAAUAUAUACCGAGCUCAGAACAUAACACAUAGACAUCCCUAAUUCAUAGGAUAACCCAUAUAUACCUACCACCUAGAACAAUCCAUAUAAUACCUAGCUUGUAGGAUAACACAUAUACAAAUAUAGCUCAUAGGACAAUCUAUAUAUACACCUAGCUCAUGAGCUAUCGUGAGCUCACACACACACACACACACACAUGCACACACACAUGCCUAGCUCAUGGAAGAGCAAUGGAAGGACCACGCAACAAGACCACAGAUGCCCCAUCUAAAUGCCGCCGGGCCAGAAUGUGGAUCCAGGGAAUACCAGGCCCCCAGUCAUUCAAGAAAAUCUGGAAACCACAAUUUUAAUGUUUAAAACUGUGUUCAGAUAGCUGGUGAUUAUACGUAUAGUGAGCACUGAGUAAUUUAUACAACUGUCAAAUCAAUACAUUGUAUCCCUAGAACUAAUAUAACAUUGUGUGACAAUGAUGCUUCCAUAAUGAAUUUAAAAAUUAAUUCAUUAAAACCAAGAGCUAUAGCUCUAAAAAUAUUACUAAUGAAAGAAAAAAAGCAAGACUGAUUUUUUUUAAAAAAAGUAUUCAAAUACCUCCUAAUUUUAAAAACUUUGCAUGAGCUAAGAAAAAUAUCAGUGGGCCAGAUUUUGCCCCUGACCCUAUGGGCUUCAUAACAGCCAAAAUCUCUGCUGAUUCUGAUCUCUGAAUAGGAAAGAGGACAAGGGAGGUGCUGUCUCCAACUCCAAUUUAACCAGACAGAAUUAGGAUCAGUUGCACAAAACAGAAAAUUCUAAAAUAACAGUAGCCACAACAAGAGAGAAGUUUAUUUCCCUGUCAUGUAAAAGAAGUCCAAAGGUGGGCAGUGCAGGCUGGUAUGGCAACUCUGUGAAGACAGCACCUUCCACCUCUCUGCUCCGCCAUCCCUAGCAUGUGGCCUUUAUCCUCAUUGUCCACCAUGGCUGCUGGAGCACUGGCCAUCACAUCUGCAACCCAGAGAGCAGAAUGGAGGAAGAGCUCUCCUCUUCUAAAAAUAAUUCCUCAUUUCCUCACAACCCUUUCACUCCUAUAGUCAAAUGGUCACACCUAACUGAAAACAAGACUGAGAAACGUCCGUAGCCGGGAGGCAAAGUAGCCAGCUAAAAAGCAAGGUUCGGUUACUCAAGAAGAGGAUAGUAGAUAUUGGGAGGCAAUGAGCCGUUUGAGCCACAUCAAAGAGCCUGAAGUGUGAGGAGGGCGUGCGGAUAGGCAGAGGGGUGUCCUCAGGUGGCCAGACUCUGCGGUCCACUUCACCUCUCCCUCCUCCUACAUCUUUGAGGCUCUGUCUGACCGAAAGGAAAUAAAAGGACCAGCCCGAAAGAGGCCAGCUGAAUAUAACAGUGAGAGCUACAGCUUCCAAGGACAGCUCGAGUCCAGGCCGGGAGCGGAGCCCAGCACAAACACGACCUCAGAUUCGCAGCGUCAGGGCUCUCUGCUGGGCGGGCCUCCUGCGGUGGCAGGGACGGUCGUGUCCUGCCUGUGCCAGCCGGGCAGGGAGCCCCGGGAACCUGCUGUCUGCCCGACGGAUAAUCACCCACCUUUCUGUUUCCCAUCCUGCCCCUCACCUCGGUCUGUGGAGGUUUUUUGUCUCCCUCAUGCCUGAGCCUACCGGAUGGUCUUCGGUCGUCCUGUGUCCUGAUGGCUCCCCGGAGCAGUCAGUCAGGUUGCAGCUUUCUGGUUUCUUCAGUUAGCCCCCACUCACCAUCUGCUCCAGCUUCUAGAAUUUGGUUGACUGCUCUCAUCUGCUGUUAUCUCCUCACAUGGUCUCUUUCUCCCAGUGGAUAGGUGUGCAUUUUUAAAAAAUGCUUUUUGGGGGGCGCCUGGGUGGCUCAGUGGGUUAAAGCCUCUGCCUUGGGCUCCGGUCAUGAUCCUAGGGUCCUGGGAUCGAGCCCCACAUCAGGCUCUCUGCUCGGUGGGGAGCCUGCUUCCUCCUCUCUCUCUGCCUGCCUCUCUGCCUACUUGUGAUCUCUGUCUGUCAAACAAAUAGAUUUUUUUAAAAAAUGCUUUUAUGCCAUUUUAUUAUAAUUUCAGAGAACAGUGGAGGUAAAUGCACGUGUUCAGUCUGCCAUGGGAAGCCAGCAGCAGCCUCCGGCCUGCAUUCUUGACCAGGGACACCCCAACAUGCGGGGUGAUCUCUUCCUCUGUUCUGUCUCCCUCUCUCCCUCCUUCUGCUCUCUCUCCCCCUCUCUUCCUCCCUCUUCCUCUCUCUGUCUCUGUCUCUGUCUCCCUCUGCCAGGCACAUGUUUCUCUCCCGCCUCCAUAGCCCAGACCUGCUUGUCAAGGGCAGGCGCCUUGCCUCCCUCCACUUUGCACUUGGACAGGACUGGGCAGGCCUACGGCAGGUGGAUAAAAGUCCUGCGUGUGGCUCCUUCCUAAGAAGUCAGGUGUGGGCUUUAACAAGCUAAAAUUAGAAGGUAGGGGUGAGAGCAAGUCAUUUCUGAAUGUAAGUACCAGAGUAAAUCUCCCUGCAAAGGAAUAUUCCCACUGUGUUUACAGUGGCGUCCAAAGUCAGUGCUUAAGGGGAAGGCCGGAUAGAGUCACACUUGUCCUUAUAAACCCCGAGGCGGGUGGCAGCCUUGAAGAGAGACCCUGCCUCUCGGUGAGUCUGACGUAGCCCGCGUUUCCUCCAGAGUUUUCUCCCAGUGUCUUGGUUAAGUGCCUGCAGGAGAUCCUGGUUUGGGUUGAGACGCCAUGUUAUGUGAACAUACACAUCUUCAGACCCUGGGAUCCCCCUCAUUGGAUCGGACCCUCGGGACACUUAUAAGAGGGGAGACAUGUGGUCCCCAAGAACUAGGGUGACCAACCAUCCCAGUUUGGUGGGACUGAGGGUUUUCCAGGGACACAGGAUGGUUCCAGGGCAAACUGGAUGGUUGGCGGCCUGGAGAACACCUGGCGUAUGGAUCUACUCCCCACGCAGCCUGCGGGGCGUGUACUGGCUGCUGUUUACCGCCCUACCCCAGGCAGAGCAGGGCAUGGUCCAGGGAGUAGGCUCUGGAGCCAGGAUGCUGGCGUCCAAGCCCCAGCGUCAACGCUCACCAGCUUUGAGGCAAGUCACUUCACCUCCCCCUGCCUCAGGUUCCUUGUCUCUCGAAUGGGAAUAAUAGUAAUAAGGAGUUCUCCUCCAUAGGGUUAUUGCGAGGAAUAAGCGAGUUCAUAGAUACAUAGCACCUAGAAUGUACACAGGCCACAGUCUCUUAUCUCAACCCUGAUACCUCAGGGCCUCCACAUGCUUUGGGAUUUGGGAAGUUUGAGGUUUUUAGAAAUCACACACUAGGGGUGCCUGCCUGGCUCCGUCACUGGAACGUUUGACCUCAACUUGAUCUCAGGAUUGUUACAUUCAAAUCCCAUGUUGGGGGUAGAGAUUACUUAACAAUAAAAUCUGGAAGGAAGGAAGGAAGGAAGGAAGGAAGGAAGGAAAGAAAGAGCAAGAGAGAGAGAGGGAAAGGAAAGAAAGAAAGAAAAAGAAAGAAAGAAAAAAAGAAAGAAAGAAAAGGUGAGUAGGGAGGGGUAAAGGAAGAAGGACAGAGCACACUCUAUGUCAUGUAACACAUCAGUGGGGUCUGGAUUAACAUCCCAUAAUUAAACACAUUAAUAUUCCUGCAGAACAUAAUGAGUGAAUAUUUACAUACCUGUUCAGGCUAGAUUUUUUUCCACCGUAUGAGUUUUGGUGCUAAUCUUCAAUUAUUUCCUUCAGAAUUUCCUGGAUUCACAAGCGCAAGCAAGACAUUGUAGACACAGGUACGGGUUUGCUGGGUCAUUGUUUAACGCACCUCUGGUGUAAGUGCCGCAUAAUCGCUUCUUAAAGACAACUCGGGCUUUUGUGCCCAAGGUCUCCGUGGGUCUGUGAACCUUCGUAGUAGGACCUUUGCACGGCAGCUCUGGGAGGAUACGCUCUUUCCUUCUUUCUCUACCCAGAUCCUCGGUGUAGUAGAUUCUUUCUGUUCCUGUCAAUAUGCUGACAGUGGGUGGUGGUUGGCUGCGGGGUGUUUGGUUAUUAGCGGUGAUUGAUGGUAGUUGGUGGUAGGGUUUUUGGUUGUUGGUGGUGGUGAUGAUUGUUACUGGUGGUGAUGGUGAUGGGUGGUAGUGGUCGCGGUUGGUGGUGCAGUGUUUGGCGAUUAGCAGUGGUUGGUGGUGAUUGGCGGUGGAGUGUUUGGCGAUCCGUGGUGGUUGACGGUAGGGUGUUGGUGGUGGGUGGCGGUGGUUGGGUGGUGGGAUGCAAAUUCAAGUCUCCAAGUGCCUUUCUUGGUCUGAGCUGGGGAGCCCGCUGGGCCCAGUGGCCAUGUUGAGGGGUGGGGGUGGUCAUAAGCUGUGGGGAAGUGAGGAACAAGCUGAGCUUCUGGCAAAGCUUCCGUGGAUUCCAGGCCGUGGUCUGGUCUGGGCAGGUAGCGGCAAAGCCGAAGGAUUCAUGGUCCUUCCACAGCUGCUGGACGUCUACAAACACCUCAUGGCAGGCAAGUGUCAGAGGGGACUCUGGGAGGUCCCCAGAUGGGGUAGGACUUGGGCCCUCCAGGAAAUGCAUGCCUUGGCAGGUGCUGGGGUACUAGGGAGUUCUAGUGGCUGCAAGGGGGCAGGGAAGUGUCUCCCCUCCUCCCCCACCCCUGCAGAGCCGCUGGGAGGGGCUCACCCAGACCAUCUCUCCACACUUCACAGAGCACCCUAUCCCACUCCUGGCAUUCGCCAACUCCCUCGACACAGGAUUGUAAAUCCUGAUUGUAAAUCAUUUCUUUCUGGAUUGGAUUGUCUGGAAAGGCAAACUGUCUUCUGCUUCUUUGUAGUGGAGGUUUGGCAACGAAGGGCAUCGGCCCUUUCCCAAGAGGGACAGAGAAAGGGAGGGUUGGGGUCAGGCGUCCACGCCAGACGCAGGUCUAGCCCCUUGGGGAGGGGCCUAGUUUUGCCUGCUGAGCAUUUCCAAGCCUUCUGCAAACUGGCAUCAUAGAGCAGUUACGGUUCCCCAUCUUUCCACCUCCUUCACCAUCUGGGGUGCCCCUUCCCUUCCUGGUCACCUUGCUCUCCCUUCACCCCAAAAGGGUGUUAGACUCUGAACCUCUGCCUCUUUUCCUCACUUUCUACUCAAACCUCCUCUCCGCUCACAAGUGAGAAAGAUCUUGAGAAAAACCUGGAGUACUAGCUAGGAGAACUUCAAUCCAGGUUCACCUCUGCCCCAAUACACCGUGACCUUGAGCUGGUCCCUUAUCUUCCAUGUGCCUCAGUGUCCCUGGAUACUGAGUCAGGCAGAUUGAGAUCAGGGAUUAGGGGAGCUAAAAACCCCAGCCAGGCUGAAGGGUGCAACAGCUAGAAAAUUCCAGCUCAUCGCUGCCCCCCGGAAAAGUAAGCCCAGCGCUGCACCCUGCCCCCCCCCCACCUCUGACUUUUCAGAGGAAGCCACAUUAGUCAGCAAAAGCUGCUAUAAUAAGCAGCCCCAAAGCUCAGGGCUUUACCACUGCAAUGGUUUGUAUCCUGCUCCCACCGCAGUCCAGCAUGGGCCAGCCCUGGAUGGGCCCUGCCCCACCCCCUCCUCAGGCCUGGGAGUCCUCCCCAUGCCCGCCCCCCCCCCCCCACGCAGGGUCCUCCCCCUGGACCUUCUGUCUCUGGUAGCAGGCAGGAAAGAGAGGGUGCAGGGCUGGGAGGGAAGUUUGGGGGCCCAGGCAGGAAGUGGUGCUUAUUACUUCCACCCACCUUCCAUUGGCCGGACUCUUGUCACACGGUCCCGACUAACUGCAAGGGAGGCUGUGUGCCUGGAAGAAAAGGACCUGGGUUUGGUGAAAGCUAGCCCGUCUCUGGCCACAGGCUGGAAACCGGGAUCCUGUAUGAAAACUUCUAACCUUUACAGAUGGGCAAAUCAUUUGAACUUCAGAAAGGUAUCGUGUAGAAUAAACAAACCCUGCGUGUGAGCCGGGGGUCCCCCAGGCCUGUGACCUGGGGCUGAGGCGGCCUCCUCCUACGGGCUGGAGCCGUGAUUUUCCCCGGGGUCAGGCGGCGGCUCUCACCCUCCCGCCUCAAACGGCCGCUGCAGUCCUGCUCCACGCCGGCCCCACGACAGGCAGUGAGGACCUGAGAAUGGCAGAGGAAACCAUGCCUUCCCUGGAGGAGCUCACAGCUGUUUUUUUUCUCUGGGUAGAAAAUAGCAUUAAAUUUUUAAAGCGAAAUGUUAGAGUGGUUUGCCAUAGCAGUACAUUUUGGCAGAGGAGCUUUCCUUAAUGGAAAAGAAAUGAUUCCCUGAGGGGGAAGUGCCAGGCAUCUCCAUUUCUGGAAGAACAGUGGGGACAGUCCCCUCCGGGCUCUAGUGCUCCUUGUGGGGACAGGUUCGGGCAAGUGCUUUGUCCCGGCUGAGCCUCAGUCUUCACCUCUGGGAAAUGGGGAUAAUGGCACCUGUCUUGCAAGGCUGUGGGGAAACAAGAGAAGCCCGUCGAACAGCGGAGCGGGGCCCGUGGAACACUGUAGGCACGCGCCCCACGGUCCCCAGUGGCCACCGUGGUGAGUCAGGGGUGACUGCCUUGGGGGGCAGGCUGUGUGUCAGCCUCCUCCCUAAUUCCCAACCAGCGUUGACAGGGUGUGGCCCUGGACCAGUCCCUGGGCUGGGUGCUGGGGACAGGUGGUGAGGGAGGUCUGGCCCCACUGAGAGGGCUCAGUCUAGGGGCAGCUGCCUUCUGACUUCUGUGGCGGGCGGGGAGGGGGGUAGGAUCCUAGCCCUCCCCUGACCACUGGUGGAGGUGAGCCAGCCCUUGCCCUCCAGGAGAGGCAGAUGGAGGAACGCAUGCGGAUUCCAGAGUCCCUUGGCUAUAACAAGCAGGUUGGUAUCUUGGUUGACCUCAGCAAGGCAGCAUCUACAGAAGCUUAGGGAAGAUCACUGGGCUGGGUGUGGGGGCGGGGGAGGGAGGAGGGAAGAGGGAAAGGCUCCUGCUUUGGCCUCACCUCGCAGAGCUAACGCUGCACAGGCUGCCGCUGCUCCAGGACCAGAGCACUUCUGCUGAGUUCACAUUAUCUACAGUCCCCUCACUCCAGGGGAGGAGGUGCAGCCAUAAAACCCAUUUUACAGAUGAGGACAUCAAGGUGCAAAAUGGUGAGGCCAAACUGCUCAAGGCUACACAGCUGCGAAGGAGUGGCCGGGAGGUUCAGACCCAGGUCCACACUCCCAGGCACGGCUGGAGGGAGAUUUCUGUGGAGGGGCUCAGAGGACCCGCGCUCCGGGUUCCUGAUCAGCUGUGCAGGAAGGAAGAAGGGAAGCCGGCCAGCGAGGGCUCCGAAAGCAUCUGGCAAGGAGCGUAUCUCUCUGAGGUCCGCAGUUCAUCUGGGAAGCGGGGUUCCUCCCUUCCCUCCUUCCUUCCAGGCUGACUCCCAGCUCUGGUGGUUACCCUCUGGGUGACCCUGGCAGGUCACUUCCACCUUCUGGGCCUGGGAUUCUGCUGUGUACCAGGCACUGCUCAGAGGAGACUAAGGGCGCCAAGUGAGCCAGACAGAUUGGUCUCCCGCCUCCUGGGACAGCUAACGGGCUCUGCAGGCCUCCUAGAAGAAGUGAUGCGUGAGUGGAGGUGGACCAGCUGUGCUGCCCUCGCACCCAUGGGUCGGGGGGAGGCAUUUCCCGCCAGGGAGAGGGGGCAGUGGAUUCCCAGGCUUACUGGGAAAGUCACAGAGCUUAAGCCCUGGAACCCCUCACUUGCUGGGCAUCCUCCUAUGACUUGGGAGAGGCCGCGCCCACUCAGGAUCACGUGCCCUCCGAGUUGGCCAAAGUAAGCUAUUCUCACUGCCUCUCUCCCCUGCCACUUCCUCCCUGUCCUACAUGCCCUCCCUUUGGACGCUGCUGGAGCUGCUGUGGCAUUUGGGGGACUCUAGUGAAGGGGAAGUUGUCACAGAAUGCGACAUUGAUGAAAAUCUAAAACAAAACUCAAAAUGUAAACAGGAUGUUGGCAACAAGCUGGUUGGUAGAGGCUUCCAUUCAAAUGCUGUUUAAGUUUCGUAAAUCAAGGAAACAUAAAAAGUCUUGUGACUGUCUAUAUAAGAUCCUCAAUCCUGAUCGAAGUUUUUCUAAAUAGGACAGUAAUCCUAAAGCUUUUCACGCUACCAGUAAUGAGUUAUGAAGUUGAAAGAAACCUUUUGAAACUAUUAACAAUGGUGGGGGGAGUGUUGGGUCCACUGUGCUGGAGAAAAUUGAGAUAUCUUCUUAUUCUCUCUAAAGAAAAUGACAGUACUAAAUCAAUGUCAAGUGAAGAGGUUAUCCCAAAAGUACAUGACCCAAAUGUAGGAAUAAAAGUAUUAUGGAAGCAUAUAAGGGGGUUAAUAUAAGUAUAAUAUUGUUUUUCUGGACACUGUAUUGUGUUUGUCUGCUUUUUAUAUGUUGUGGUUUUGUUUCUCAUUCAAAAUACUCACAUUUUUAUCUGAUUUUGUGUUUUCCUUUUUUUUUUUAAAUUUUUAUUGAUUUAUUUGAGAGUGAGAGAGAAAGCACGAGAGCACACAGGUGGAGAGUGGGGAGGAGCAGAAGGAGAGGGAGAAGCAAGCUCCCCACUGAGCCUGAAGCCUGAAGCGGGGCUCCAUCUCAGGACCCUAGGAUUAUGACCUGAGCCAAAGGCAGAUGCUUGACCAACUGAACCACCUAGGCCUCCUUUGUGUUCUUUUUUCUUAAAGAAAGUCUCCCAGCUUGAUAAGUUUUAAGCCCACAAAAUCUGGAUGCAAUUCUAUGGAGAGAAGGUGGCAUGUGCAAAGGCCCAGUGGUAGUGGGGUAGAACUUGGCUGUGUUUGAGGAAUAGAAGCACAGAGAGGACAGGGAGAGAAGGAGAGGAGGUUAUUUCCCAUAAUCCUACUGGACCUCUCACUGGCUAUAUGGCCAAACAGGGGAAGGAAUUUGGGGAUCAUUAUCCAGAAAGAACAGGACAAAGAAACGACCUCAUAAGUCUUUCUUCAACCUCCAGCUAGUGCAGGAAUCCUCUCUCUCACAGCUGCCCACUUGACUAUCUCUACAGACUUCCUGCAAGGAAGAGCUCAUCCCCUCCCCUAAACCCUAACUAUGGGAAGUUCUUCUGUCAAUCUUCUGUCACCCUAACCGCUAACUGUCUUCAGUUCCCCCUUGGGUCCUCAUCUUCUUUCAAGCCCAGAAAUAACUGGUGGCUCUCUACUUCCUUUUUUUUUUUUUUAAGAUUUUAUUUAUUUAUUUGACAGAGAGAGAGACAGCAAGAGACGGAAUACAAGCAGGGGGAGUGGGAGAGGGAGAAGCAGUCUUCCCGUGGAGCAGUGAGCCCGAUGUGGGGCUCAAUCCCUGGACCCUGGGAUCAUGACCUGAACCCAAGGCAGACAGUUAACAACUGAGCCACCCGGGCCCCCUGGUUGCUACCUACUUCUGCCCAUUCAUUUUAGCUCUGGCGACACUUGAGGGCGGUGUUCAAGUUCUAUUCUUGCCCAAGAUAACCUGGCUUCCUUCAAAGAUUUCUCUUGUAAGUUGACUUCCAAAGUCUUCCUUAUCCAUUAACUCAAUGGUUUCUUAGCCGCUCAUACACAUAUGAUGAUGAGAUAAGAGCGAACACGAGUGCCCAGCUGUGUACGAGGCUCUGUGCUGGGUGUUUGUUUAUGCCUCAUCAUGAAGGCAAUCCUACAAAACAGGUACAGUUAUGAAACCCAUUUCACAGAUGAGGAAACCGAGGUUCGAAGAGACUAAAUGAACAGCCUAGGUUACAGAGCAUGAAGGUGGUGCAAUCGGGCUCUUUGACUUCAGAGCUCAUGUUGUGAGUCACAUUAGAUGGGUAGAAUUAGGGGCUCCAGUGUGCAGAGGAGAAUAACUCUGCUUCAAGACUGUAAAACAGGGGCGCCUGGGUGACUCAGUGGGUUGAGCAUCUGCCUUCAGCUGAGGUCAUGAUCUCAGGGUCCGGGGAUCGAGGGGAGGCCAGCAUCAGGCUUCCUGCCCAGUGGGGAGUCUGCUUCCUUACCUCUCCCUUUGCCUCCCCCUCUACACGUCUCCCCCCGAGAUAAGUAAAUAAAAUCUUAAAAAACAAACAAACAACUGUAACACAGACAUCCUGAGUUUCCAAUCUGUUGACCUGUCCAAUGGAUUGUGGAUGGACUUGCCUUAUAACUGUAGGAGCCAACCCUUAAAACCCGUCUCUGUCCUCCACCUUCCUCUCCACUCUCUCUAUAUACACACCCAUAUCCCUACACACACAUACAUACCCACAUGCCCACACGCAUCCACACCUCCUGUUGGUUCUGUUUCUCUGGAGAACCUGACUGGCAAUAGUCCUGUCUCCCCACCUCCAGCCUGCAGGUGUCUUAAAGAGGCAUCGCAGGUGUCUUAAAGAGGCAUCUGAGCUCACCCAGUCCUAUCAGCACAAUAUCACCAAUAGAUUAGACCAAUGUGGUCCUUGUGGGAUGGUGAGAGGGUCCCAUGGAGCUGGAGCACCGACCUGUGGAAGAACGGUGGUCACGGUGAGCUGCU
Molecule: long non-coding RNA, 11868 nt
Organism: Mustela lutreola (European mink)
Lineage: Eukaryota; Metazoa; Chordata; Mammalia; Carnivora; Mustelidae
Exons: 4
Source: RefSeq, a predicted model, not a curated record